Tachysurus fulvidraco (yellow catfish) is the source of this 8180-nucleotide long non-coding RNA. RefSeq lists it as uncharacterized. The transcript has 2 exons. Lineage: Eukaryota; Metazoa; Chordata; Actinopteri; Siluriformes; Bagridae. The record is from RefSeq and is a predicted model, not a curated record.
GGUAUAUAUUGAGGAGAUUCCUUUGGAGGGGGCGCUCUUGCUCCUGCUUGCUUGCUUUUUUGUGGGGGAACUUUUUGGGUGGCAUGGGGAUGCACUGUUUGAGUUUUUUCUUUGAUACUUUCGACUUAGAAGUUUGUCCUCCUUGAGCCCAAUGGAAGCAGUGGCUGAUCAGCACCAAUAAAGAGUUUUGCUCAUUCUCAUCCAGGUAAAGGAUAUCUGUCUGUCCAGUGUAUGUGAACGAGACAAUAGGAACUUGGACAAUCUCUGCUCCUGUCCUCUCGAGGUAAGUCUGUGACAGCAGACCCACACACAUGGUGUCGGCUUUCUUUGAGAAAACAAUGGCAUCCUUUCCCAAGCGCAUGGAGCCGGACUUAAAACCGUUACCGUAAAGACCAACUGGAACAUGUUUUUUUAACUGCUGCUUAUCACUGAAGCCAAAACUGAGAGAGAGAGAGAGAGAGAGAGAGAGAGAGAGAGAGAGAGAGAGAGAGAGAGAGAGAGAGAGAGCUCUGUCAGUAAAAUGAGGAAUUGAUUACUUUUUACAUAGUUAGUUUAGACUCAAAAUUUAAUAAAUUAUAAAUGUGAAAUAUAUAUUUGCCAUCUGACAGACAAUCACAAACUUCCUGACACACCUGAGCAUUUUGUGCAUCUUCUCAUAGUCCAUGCCAUUUCCAUUAUCCAAAAAGAUGAGGCAGUCCUGGUGUUUAAACACACUUUUUGUAAUCCAGAGCUGUUUUGCAUUGACAUCUGGGUCAUAAGCAUUGUCUGCCAAUAGAAAAAAGGAGGAAAUUCAAAUAUUGUCUAAUGUUACUUACAUUUUUAGACAGCUUUAAAACUUAAGGUUCUUCUUUAUUCUGUUCAGGACAAAAUUUUGAUGUGUGACUAAGAUUACACCCUGGAACAAAUGUCAGUCUAUUGCAUGGCAUCUAAUACACUUGCACUCAAGAUAAUGGUGCUGUGAGGUGGUAGACUAUUUUAGGUAGUAAGCUAAAUUUGUGUCUUUUAAGACAGACCUACAGUAGACAAAUGUAGUUAAUGCUUUAAUUAAAAACAAGCUUACAUUUUCAGAAUACAAAGCUUGAUAGAGUGAAGGAUUAUCUCACCAUUUUCCCAUUUUCAGCAGGUCAGGGUUAAAUAAAUAUUUUAUGUGCUAUACGCAGGUUUGCUUGGAGUUUUUUUAAUAGCAGACUAAUCCUAAACGUAAUCUCAAAAAGGUAAACAUGCUCAGGUUAGGCAAUCAAUAAGUAGCUGUUCAAAGGGUCAGCAAAAAAAAAAAAAUACAUGGGUCAGGCAAGGAUGAAACAAAAUGGUUUGGUAAAGGACAGGAAACUGACCAUAUACUUUGUUAAGUAGCUAAAAUGAAAAGUCAUACAAUAAAGGUACACCCUGAAUCUAUAACAGUUGAAAAUAGGUGUAUUGCAAUCAGAAGUCUUUCUAAUGUUGAAAUCACAGGUGAUUGUGGGAAAUGAUCAGUGCUCCCUUUUUUGUAGACUGCAAUGUGUUAUGGGAAAUGGAGUCCAUACUUUGGCUAGACCACAAAGAGGAACCUCCAUACCUACUAUUCUCUUAUAUGUUAUAAUAAUAAACUGCUUAUAAGUUUAUACCCCUGCCACUCAAUGAGGUAUUGAAUCCAGGCCAAGCCAAGUACAUGGGGCUGCCCACAGGAAGGAUGUAAGAGGGAGAGCUAUGAUAAUAAAGUCUUAAAUGAAGCACCGAAGAAGUUGGCGAAUUCAAGAAGCAUUGCAAUUCACUCAGUAUUCAAGAAGAACACCUAUUAUUGCAUUUGUAACGUUGUGGCGGCCUGCUCAGGAAAUUCAGGGCCACCAGCCCACACUCUUAUAAGCACUCGGGCCAGCAGCCAAGACUGCAAGCGUGGUUUCCCAACCUGCUUCUGUGCACUUCCAUGUAUUUUACUUAAAUAUUCCCACAAAGUGACAGUAAUGUUACAGGCAUUCUAUUGAGGAGCAUAAUAUCCUCUUAUCGAAUUCCUCUUCUGACAUUUCCACAAUUACUCUGCUUCACUGUUAUAACUUACUACACUCCUCACCCCUCGUCCAGCCAAUAGCUUUCUCUACAUCUGUCCAAUUUCUAUACAUCUACCCACUUUCUCUCCAUCCCCACAAGUGUAUGUUAGCUUUGAGUUUAUUUUUAAAUCAAACAAAUGUAAAACAUCUCAAAAAGUAAAACAGGUACUGGUCAGAUGAUCAACUUUGCAAGAGCAGGCAAGAUGACAUUUUUUGGCAGACACUUUUAACCAGUGUUUAAAUACCUCAGGAAAAGGUACGACUUUAGACAUCAUUUGAAAAGAACCAGUGACUCCGCUGUAUAAACAUUUAGGGGGAGUUCAUUUCACCAUCUAUGAAACAAAACAGAGUCUGAAGCAUAACUUGUACCCUGAGAGAUGGUGGAAACAGUCAAGCAGUACUAAAAAUUAGAGGAAGCAUGUUGAAAUGUGGGGUGUGAUGAGUGCUUUGAGGUAAGUGGGUGCAGGUCCAUUUGUUGCUUUUAGGCAAUUAUCAUUGUUUAAUUUCAGAUGUAGUCAGCUACAUGAAGCCACUGGAGGGAGUGUAGCAAUGGGUUAGUGUGGGGAAAAACUCAUGCAGCUACAUUUAGGAUUAGUUGCAGAUUAAAUGGCUCUCAGAGGCAUACAGUACUUACAGGCAGAAAGUUAGUCUGAACAAGUACAGCAUCUUAGUGGCCAGUGAAGAUAGAAAUGGACAAAUCUUUCUGAUACUUUUGCGGAUCAAUAUGAGAAGAAAUGUUGAUUGUUGAAACGUUGAUUGUCCAUGUUAAUCCCAAUGUUGCACGCAGUGAUUAAAGGUGAGAUCAGUGAGUUAUUAAGGAAUAUUGAAAUAUCUUUUCAUGAUGAUGAAUUGAUUGGGAUGAACAGCAGUUAUGUUUUGCUGAGUUUAAGUUUAAACUUAUGAGCAGCAAUCAAUUAUGAGGUGUCUGCAGACAUGCUGAGAUCACGUCCAUGAUCCAGUGGACAGGUAAUAUAAUUGCAUGAUAAGAUUACUUGCAGGAUCUAUUCUGUUGCUAGCUUAGUAAAAUGUGCAAGUGAAAAAGAAGGGGAAUACUACAGUAUAGGAGUAGGGGUAGAAGUGAAGGUCUUGCAGAAUUAGCAGAAAAGAAAGGUUGGUUCAUGAGAAGCUGGGGGUUAAGUAGAAAAGAAAAUAUGUUGUUUUGUAGAAGGCAGUCUUAGAAGUCACAUCAGAAUAGAAUUUGCUCAGGAGAGUACAGCAAGAGGAAAGAAAACAUUUUCACAUUGGAAAAUAACAAGACACAAAGGAAACUGAGUAAACCUUGCAACUUUAAAUGUGUUUUAUAAAUGUGAGCUGUGAUUGACAGUUUCAAAACAAGAAUAGUGUAUACAGAAGGGAAUUAUAGUGUUAAAAUCUGAAUUUUAGUCAAGUGUCUCCCGGUGUCCAGAUGGGUAAGGGCUGUGAGUGGGAGGUGUGGGAUUCCUCUCUAAAAGGGAUAACCAAAGGGUUAAUCUCUAAAACGCAAGCAGCCAGAAAAUUCCUUAUAAUCUAGAAUGUGAAAGAUUCCAAUUGUUUAUGCAAAAUGGUCCAGAAAACAAUAAAGGUUUAUAAAAGUAAUUUUGACUCACCAAUCAAUUCUGCUACUGCACUGAAGGGCCAGGUGUGGCUAGUAGAGUUUGUGUGCAGAUACUGUGGACUUACCUUUAGAAGGAAAAGAAUAUGAUAAACAAGUACCUUAACCUCAUUACAGUAACUUUUGAAGAUUUAUUUCAUUUAUACAUACAUAUAUAAUAUCUUUUGAAAAUUCUCAGUGUUUUGAGAAGAACGUACAAACUAAAUGAAAAAAGUGAUAAAGAAAUGAUAAUAAAAGCAUGUCGCUUCUCGUUUUUUCUUAUGAAUCUCACCCACCCCCUGUUUCGUAAGAAAGGUGAUCAUAGGUUAAAGGAAGACAGGUUGGAAGAGUUCUUUAAGAUUCCAAAAACUUGUCUGUUCAAGUUUUAGGAUUUUGAAUUAUAGCCUGAUCCUGAAUUGUAGCCAAGUGUUGACCGUGAAUGUAUUCUUUUUCUUUCCGAAAAUUUGCAUGUUGUUUUUGUACAUAUUGGGCAUGAUGUUGCUCAGCACACAGUAAAAUACAUAUAAAUUUUAUUGAAACAGUUACCCAAAAACACCCUCUUUCUGCAAACUUUUGUAACUGACAGGACAACACUUUACAGUUUUAGGUAUCAGUAGCACCAGUUAAGUGUAGGAUUAAAGAAAUGGAUUUGUUGGUUGGCUUUAAAAGCUUAAAAAGAACAGGCCCAUUCCUGCCUAAAAACAAUCACACUGUUUGAGGAUAGUAACGAAGAAAUAAAAGUGAUAGUUACUGAGGCAUAUGGUCAUUAGUUUCAGAGAAACUACACUGUAACUAGAUAUACAUACUAGGUAUGCGGCAGUUAUUCAAGUCAAAGUAUUUAGUUUAAUUUCACUUAUUUAUCAACAAUGUAAUAUUUAUUUAUCUUUAUGAGACAGUGCUAAAGUUCUAGCCAUAAAAAGUAACCUGCGAAUAUACAAUUCUAUUCAAAUUAAUUUACACUAUACAAAAAUGAUAGCUGGUUGUAGUUUCACUUAGUUAUAACCCAUAAAUACUUACCGAGCUUACAGGUAUACCUCUCUUUGAAUAUGUUGUCAUCUUUGUUUAAAAGUGCAGUUCCAAAGUGAGCUUCUUAGAAAGGUGUAGGGGACUCUUCUAUUUUGAAAUACAGGAACUACGCAUCCACAUUUGUACUAACUUUGUGGAAACUCCACCCCUUCUGGCUCAUCAGGGAGAAUGGAUACUAAUUCAACAUUUAGUGAUUUGGUUAUUUUUGUGCUAUUCAGGAAUUUUUAGGCAUGUACACUGUACAUGCAAUAGAGAGCAGGUAUAUACCAGAUAAUCUUUAUACAUUUAUUAACAUUUAAACUUCAUCCUUUGUUUCAUUCAUUUUGUUAUUAUUGCAGAAACUAAAUUAUUCUUUCAUGAAUUAUUAGCUGUAGGAUCAACUAAAUCCAGAUUUGAUUUCAGCUUAAAAAAAAAAUAAUAAUUCUCUCCUUGUUGUGCCAGAUUUCCCGUUACCAACUAUUGUGAUGGCAGACUGAUUUUUCAAAAAUAGCUACUGAAGGGCUGGACCUCAAAAUUACUCCAAUUCUGUCAGGACCACUUUUUCACAAGGGAAUUAAAUGAUAUGCAUACAGUUAGUGUUGGUGGUAUGGGUCUGUUCUGUGCAAGAAUCCACGCGCCCAUCCAUGCGCAUGCAUGGACAGAGCGGGGAGAGUAGCGACUAGAAAAUAGAAUAGACCGAAUCACUAGCAUGCAUAGUAUUGAUAAGCUCAAUUAAAACUUUUUUGGAAAGUAAUAAAUGAAUGGAUAGAUAGAUAAUCAAAUAAUUAGAGAGAGAGGGAGAGAGAGAGAGAGAGAGAGAGAGAGAGAGAGAGAUAAAUAUGUGGAGAUUAAAGACGUAACUGGUACACCGAACACGGGUUCCGGCGUGGUGGAGUCGGGGUUGGAGGAGGGAGUUUAGAUCGCGGCAGCAGCGAAGCGCUGAACGGCUCUAUGAAUGGGAAUUUAAAUGGUCGGAUAAUAAGGAUGUCGUAACUGGAUUGGUGCGCGUCGUGGACACGAUGCUUGAUGGGUGUCACUGAUGAGUGUAUAUAUCUCACAGAUGAGUGUAUAUUCCAGCAGAUUUAGCCUUACUUAGUGCAAGACUUUGAAUUGUAAAUUCCUUGUCUAAAAGAGAGUAAUGAAAACACUGAUGUAAUAGGACUGAUUAGGACUGAUUACCAAAAAAACUGAAUAGGAAUACUUGGCUGAGAUGAGAAAACCAUUGCGUUAUGUGCUGUACUAUGUCUGUUUUGUAACAAUGUACAAUAAGUUGCAGAGAUAACAAGCCUGAUACCAAGAAUUUUACAAAUAAAAAGACUGUACACUGAACGUAUCACCUAAUCAUGUUACCCAUAUAUAGUAGUAUAUAGGCAAAAGUGGGAGUGGCUAAGGUUUUAACCUGUUCAACUGCUUGAUAGACAUUAUAACCCUAUAAACACGUGAGAUUUGACACCAAUACCAGUAUAAACGAACUGCCACGAGUUAUUAUUUAUCAUGUGGUAUGUAUUUUCAUGUUAUUUGUUCCAGAAAAUUUACUAGUUCCUAUCACAGUUAAUAUUAUUAUUUAUGUUUCUCUAUUACAGUGAAAGGUCAUACAAUAUAAAUAUUCCUUUGUAUCCUUGGUAUAAAAAUUGGUCUCAUAAAAAACUAUAUAUAUGCAGCAUUUGAAACUCAUAUGUUAGGUUCCAGAUGAUGCUGAAAGUUCUGUCUGUUCUAAUCUGCAAACAUGAUCUCAGACUUGCCCUUGAUAAACUAGUGUCACUGUGCUUGACAGGGAAAGGCCAUAGAGUGAACAUUGUCAGGAUGAAAAUUCAAGCUGACAGGGCAAACACAUUUCAAUGUGCCAUUUGGAAGUCAAACAUAGAGGAGGAAAAUUUGAAUAGCAAAUCACUGAAGUGCAAAUUACUGCUGUUUUUGAAAGCAGCUUCAGCUCAGAAUAAUCACUAAAAUCAUAUAAUUUCUUUCCUCAGAUGAGCUAGAGAUAAAUAUGCUGAGAUUCCCCAGUCAUCUUUUGUGGAUCUACAACUAGAUACCUACAACCCAUGAAUUUGUGGAUUGUAUUGUGUUCUUUACAUGUCUGUGUGCAUGUUGAUUCCAGGCAAGAGUUUCCAGGCUGACUUAGCCGGCUCUGAUCCUGAGCCCGUUUCGAUGACCUUAUCACUGAUCUGCUAUAUAAAGAGGAAGCAGAAGAAGAAGGUGGAGGGUGUUAGUAGUGGUUUGUUUAUUGCAAUGUUGUUGAGAGAGUGAUUAUUGUGUUUCUUGAUAGUUCCUGUUCUGGUUUUGACUUCUGCCUGUUUCUGAUUCUGAGCUGGGUUUUCCCUUGGAUUUGUUUAUUUAUCACUGUAAAUAUUGCUCACUGUUUCACUGGCAGUAGGGGUGGGGGUGCCAUUUUGUCUUUGAGAGUGGGUUCCUUUUUCCCCCUCUGUGUUUUUUGGUGGGGAGUCAGGGCAGUCCCUCUAUUUUUCUUUUCUUUCUUUUCAGGUGAGAAUAGUUACUUAACUAUUAGAUUCUUAUUGUGCUCUAUUACCAUAAUAUUAUAAUGGUAUUAUAAUAUUUUGCACUAUUACAUCAGACUUGCGCAUUUUUUCAUGAACAGCAGAUAUGUUGAUCCCUCUCCACUUCUUUUCUCUUUCUACCCAUCCUGAGGCAUCCAGACAUUGUACCAGCUCCGAUCGUCUUCCGUGAGAUGAAGAUUUUGGACCUCCAAUGAGACGAGGCGACUCUGUGAGAAUACUGAGACAUCUACAGAUCUACCAGCUCCAGUUGGACUCUGUGAUACUAAGAGGAGAUCUGAACUCCAUGUGAUCCCUACACCAAUACAACAUUUGUUUAACUGUAUAUUUAUAAUCACACCCUCCAGUGUCACCCAUACAAGGAUGGGCUCUCCUUUGAGUUCCUCUCAAGGUUUCUUCCUUUACCAAUUCAAGGGAGUUUUUCCUUGCCACUGCUGCCUGAGUCACCUCAGACUUGCUCAUUGGGGAUAAAUACAUACACAAAUUGGGGCGGUUUCCCAGACAGGGAUUAACACUAAUCUUAGACUUAAAUGCACACUCAGACAUGGUUUAAAAUAGUCUCAGACUUUCCUUAGUCUUAAACUAUAAAGUCAGUUUUCCUAAAGGACGAUCAGAGGUAGUCUGGGUUUAAGUGAUGGCAUAAUUUAAACCUGGCCAGAGGCAGGUUUAACUUCAGAUUAACUGAUUUUGACCUUCAGGUUGACAUCAGAAAAUGAAGAAAAUGGAUUUCUUGGACCAUUUUAAUGAUGAUGAAAGGGUGCCACCAAGACCAGAUCGGUGGGCAAUUAUAGACAGGAUCAACCCACUGAAUGAGUUUGAUGAAAUACAUUUUCCUGACCGUUUUCAUAUGUACAAACAAAAUGUAGCUGACAUAAUUAUUUUGCUUGAACCAAGGCUUUCAUGUCACUCUUUAAGGGGAAUGCCUAUCCCUCCUUACUUACAAAUUCUGAUUACCUUGAGGUUUUUGGCAUGUGGAACAUUCCAUUGUGAAACAGGAGAUUUGUGUGGUGUGAGUGAACCAAAAGUGUGCAAAAUAGUCCACAAAGUCUGCAAUGCUAUAUGUAAACU